RNAcentral lists this long non-coding RNA (615 nucleotides) under Cyanistes caeruleus (blue tit). RNAcentral describes it as "lncRNA (ENSCCEG00000019027.1)". Lineage: Eukaryota; Metazoa; Chordata; Aves; Passeriformes; Paridae. The record is from RNAcentral.
CCCAAAGCAAAAGAAUAACCUCUUUUAUGCUGGGAGUUCUCUUCAGUGACAAUCCAUUCCUUGCCCAUGGGAUGAAAACACAUUAUGUAAUUAACCAGAUAAAAUGGGAAUUUUAAAUUCAGCAUGGAAUGGAAGGCAAAGCAUGGGCUAGAAAAAUAGCAGAUGACUUGGGAAACAGCAGUGUGCUUUUUUCUUCAUUGUAAUCUAAAUGAAGAUGAUCUGUGGUGGACUAGAGCAAUGAAGAGAGGCAGGCCCAUGGCAAACUCCAGCUGUUGAAGGGAGAAAGAAGUGAACUUCAGGAAACCUAGGAACUGGUACAGACUGUACAGCCUCAUCUCUGAUUGCUUCUGGUGUUGAAGAGGGGCUGAGGUCAAAGAGGAGAUGGGAACAUUUUGUUAUUUUAUUACUCCUGUGAAAAAUUCCCCAAUACCUGUCUGAAGUUACGCUCUGCUUGUGUGUACUACUGUCACAUUGUAGCUCAGGCAACAGGGGACCUACAGACAGUGGGAUAUGCUAUUUCACCCCUUUGAUCCUUUUGUUUUGUUUUGCUUUGCUCAUCCAUCCCUUAGAGAUCUCUUUCCAUUCCCUCCACCCUCUUGCAUGUAAAGCUUUGCU